Molecule: long non-coding RNA, 1404 nt
Filed under: Panax ginseng (ginseng)
Lineage: Eukaryota; Viridiplantae; Streptophyta; Magnoliopsida; Apiales; Araliaceae
Description: long non-coding RNA (PGIN_LNC018259)
Source: RNAcentral
AUUCUUCUCUCUCUAAACUGUAAUCUUUCUCUCUCUAGACUUCCCUUUCAGAAGUUCUUCCUUUGUGGGGUUUCUUAAUUCUUCAAUGCCUGACAACCAUCAUAAAGGCUAAAAGCAGUAUAAUCAUCCUCUUUAUCUGUGAGAAUUUCUUGUUCUUUUUAAGUUUCCAUUUUUUUCUAUUUUUGGAAAAAGAAUCAAUUUUUUUGGUUAUUUAGUUCAUUCGUUUAUGAAUUAUUUGGUUCUGUAGCGGUAUAUAUAUAUAUAUUUUGUUUGUUGGAUCAAAUAUCUGAUUUUGGUUGUUGAAACUGAUCUGGGUUUGGGGAGGAUUUGGAUUUGUGAUUGGUUUCUGUGUUAGGUAUUUAUGGGUGAUUUUCUUAACAGUGAUAGAAAAAUUGAAUAGUUUUGAAUUGUAUGGUUUUUGAAUUGAUUUGGGGUUGAUAGUGUUGGGUAGUUGAGAAUUAAUGGAAUAUUGAAGAUUGAAGUGAUGAGGCUUGGUUAUUAUUCUUUCAAUUUUGUUGAAACCGGAAAGGACAGCAUUUUUUAUGUACUUGGAGCAUUGUAACCUUUGGGAUUUCUAAUAAUUAUUCAUUCGGUUGAUUGACACUAUUUUGCUGCUUGGGUUUCAAACCUAAAUGUACAGGGUUUGGUUUGCCAGCCGAGUGUAUUGAGGUUUUGAUAGAGUUUGAACUGCUUCAGUUUCUUUUCAGUUUUCAUUCUUUCUUAGGAAAGGUGGUUACUUUAUUUUAAGGGACUCAGUUUAUGAUCUGUAAAGAAAUAUGGCUGCGGGUACUGAUUUCUCACCUGCAUUUACGGUAUUAAAAGGUGGUAACAACAAAGAUAACGUGUUUAUUAGAAAAGAGGAAAUCUCUGAGAAUUCAGAUGACUUGAAGCAGAUGACAACUGGAAGACCUCCACGGCAUCUCUCAGUUGUACGGCAUAGUAUAAGCUCUGCUACGAUAACGAGUGCUGUUGAUUUGGUAAGUAAAUCCACACGUGAUGUUUUAACUGUCUCAAGCUGAUGUUGAAGCUCUUAGUUGUUUCUCUGUGGUUUGUUAGGACCUUUAUGUUUAGUUACAGUUCUAAACUUCUGUUAAAUUCACGGAAGCAAAGCAAUUGAUAAAGCCAUUGAAGUUGAAGAACCAAGAUCAUUAUUUCCUUGAGUUUGGGUUCGCUUCAUAUUGCAUCAAAUUUGGAUAUUGCAUGGAACCCCAAUCGUCUUGUAAAAAAAUGUUACGUAUUAAAAAGUGAAAAUUUAUCAUAUUCUGGUUUAAAUCUUUUUCCUAUAAUGUGGCCAUGUUAGAUGGGAAGGAAUUUGUCAUAUUAAUGAUUUUAUAUUUCAGCUUACUUCAAUAGAUUACUGCACUAUGAAAAAGGUUUUGUCCAAUUUAACGGAUGUCAAAGGAU